GGGUUGUGAGGUUAAGCGACUAAGCGUACACGGUGGAUGCCCUGGCAGUCAGAGGCGAUGAAGGACGUGCUAAUCUGCGAAAAGCGUCGGUAAGGUGAUAUGAACCGUUAUAGCCGGCGAUGUCCGAAUGGGGAAACCCAGUGUGAUUCGUCACACUAUCGUUAACUGAAUACAUAGGUUAACGAGGCGAACCGGGGGAACUGAAACAUCUAAGUACCCCGAGGAAAAGAAAUCAACCGAGAUUCCCCCAGUAGCGGCGAGCGAACGGGGAGCAGCCCAGAGUCUGAAUCAGCUUGUGUAUUAGUGGAACGGUCUGGAAAGUCCGACGGUACAGGGUGAUAGUCCCGUACACCAAAAUGCACAGGCUGUGAACUCGAAGAGUAGGGCGGGACACGUGGUAUCCUGUCUGAAUAUGGGGGGACCAUCCUCCAAGGCUAAAUACUCCUGACUGACCGAUAGUAAACCAGUACCGUGAGGGAAAGGCGAAAAGAACCCCGGCGAGGGGAGUGAAAAAGAACCUGAAACCGUGUACGUACAAGCAGUGGGAGCACCUUCGGGUGUGACUGCGUACCUUUUGUAUAAUGGGUCAGCGACUUAUAUUCUGUAGCAAGGUUAACCGUAUAGGGGAGCCGCAGGGAAACCGAGUCUUAACUGGGCGUUAAGUUGCAGGGUAUAGACCCGAAACCCGGUGAUCUAGCCAUGGGCAGGUUGAAGGUUGGGUAACACUAACUGGAGGACCGAACCGACUAAUGUUGAAAAAUUAGCGGAUGACUUGUGGCUGGGGGUGAAAGGCCAAUCAAACCGGGAGAUAGCUGGUUCUCCCCGAAAGCUAUUUAGGUAGCGCCUCGUGAAUUCAUCUUCGGGGGUAGAGCACUGUUUCGGCUAGGGGGUCAUCCCGACUUACCAACCCGAUGCAAACUACGAAUACCGAAGAAUGUUAUCACGGGAGACACACGGCGGGUGCUAACGUCCGUCGUGAAGAGGGAAACAACCCAGACCGCCAGCUAAGGUCCCAAAGUCAUGGUUAAGUGGGAAACGAUGUGGGAAGGCACAGACAGCCAGGAUGUUGGCUUAGAAGCAGCCAUCAUUUAAAGAAAGCGUAAUAGCUCACUGGUCGAGUCGGCCUGCGCGGAAGAUGUAACGGGGCUAAACCAUGCACCGAAGCUGCGGCAGCGACACUAUGUGUUGUUGGGUAGGGGAGCGUUCUGUAAGCCUGCGAAGGUGACCUGUGAGGGUUGCUGGAGGUAUCAGAAGUGCGAAUGCUGACAUAAGUAACGAUAAAGCGGGUGAAAAGCCCGCUCGCCGGAAGACCAAGGGUUCCUGUCCAACGUUAAUCGGGGCAGGGUGAGUCGACCCCUAAGGCGAGGCCGAAAGGCGUAGUCGAUGGGAAACAGGUUAAUAUUCCUGUACUUGGUGUUACUGCGAAGGGGGGACGGAGAAGGCUAUGUUAGCCGGGCGACGGUUGUCCCGGUUUAAGCAUGUAGGCUGGUUGUCCAGGCAAAUCCGGAUAAUCAAGGCUGAGGUGUGAUGACGAGGCACUACGGUGCUGAAGUAACAAAUGCCCUGCUUCCAGGAAAAGCCUCUAAGCAUCAGGUAACAUCAAAUCGUACCCCAAACCGACACAGGUGGUCAGGUAGAGAAUACCAAGGCGCUUGAGAGAACUCGGGUGAAGGAACUAGGCAAAAUGGUGCCGUAACUUCGGGAGAAGGCACGCUGGUGUGUAGGUGAAGUCCCUGCGGAUGGAGCUGAGACCAGUCGAAGAUACCAGCUGGCUGCAACUGUUUAUUAAAAACACAGCACUGUGCAAACACGAAAGUGGACGUAUACGGUGUGACGCCUGCCCGGUGCCGGAAGGUUAAUUGAUGGGGUUAUCCGUAAGGAGAAGCUCUUGAUCGAAGCCCCGGUAAACGGCGGCCGUAACUAUAACGGUCCUAAGGUAGCGAAAUUCCUUGUCGGGUAAGUUCCGACCUGCACGAAUGGCGUAAUGAUGGCCAGGCUGUCUCCACCCGAGACUCAGUGAAAUUGAACUCGCUGUGAAGAUGCAGUGUACCCGCGGCAAGACGGAAAGACCCCGUGAACCUUUACUAUAGCUUGACACUGAACAUUGAGCCUUGAUGUGUAGGAUAGGUGGGAGGCUUUGAAGCGUGGACGCCAGUCUGCGUGGAGCCAACCUUGAAAUACCACCCUUUAAUGUUUGAUGUUCUAACGUUGGCCCCUGACCGGGGUUGCGGACAGUGUCUGGUGGGUAGUUUGACUGGGGCGGUCUCCUCCCAAAGCGUAACGGAGGAGCACGAAGGUUAGCUAAUCCUGGUCGGACAUCAGGAGGUUAGUGCAAUGGCAUAAGCUAGCUUGACUGCGAGCGUGACGGCGCGAGCAGGUGCGAAAGCAGGUCAUAGUGAUCCGGUGGUUCUGAAUGGAAGGGCCAUCGCUCAACGGAUAAAAGGUACUCCGGGGAUAACAGGCUGAUACCGCCCAAGAGUUCAUAUCGACGGCGGUGUUUGGCACCUCGAUGUCGGCUCAUCACAUCCUGGGGCUGAAGUAGGUCCCAAGGGUAUGGCUGUUCGCCAUUUAAAGUGGUACGCGAGCUGGGUUUAGAACGUCGUGAGACAGUUCGGUCCCUAUCUGCCGUGGGCGCUGGAGAAUUGAGGGGGGCUGCUCCUAGUACGAGAGGACCGGAGUGGACGCAUCACUGGUGUUCGGGUUGUCAUGCCAAUGGCACUGCCCGGUAGCUAAAUGCGGAAGAGAUAAGUGCUGAAAGCAUCUAAGCACGAAACUUGCCCCGAGAUGAGUUCUCCCUGAGACUUUAAGUCUCCUGAAGGAACGUUGAAGACGACGACGUUGAUAGGCCGGGUGUGUAAGCGCAGCGAUGCGUUGAGCUAACCGGUACUAAUGAACCGUGAGGCUUAACCUUACAACGCCGAAG
This 2923-nucleotide ribosomal RNA is filed under the name Klebsiella pneumoniae. RNAcentral's name for it is "23S ribosomal RNA". It matches the Rfam family "Bacterial large subunit ribosomal RNA". Lineage: Bacteria; Pseudomonadati; Pseudomonadota; Gammaproteobacteria; Enterobacterales; Enterobacteriaceae. The record is from RNAcentral.